GCGAGCAAGUUCCUCUGGUGCAUCGCUAGGGUACUGCCUCCUGCAGUCCGCUUUUAUCUUUACUUGCAGAGUUGUAGCUGUCCAUCAAAGUAGGGGGAUGCAAUCUCCACCCCCACAUGGCCCGAGGGUGUUCAGCUUCAUGGUAGUUGUCACGUAGCCGGGACUUGCACGUGACACAGGUGCUUCUAAGAACAAAUGGUCAAAACCGUUGCAUUGUCUCUCACUUCCGAGUCCCGAAUUAAUAGCGAUCUUGCGAUUCUCCGGAAGGAGAGGGCUGCUCCCGCUCCUUCGGCCCCUCAGAGCUGUGGUACAUUCAUAACACCAUGAAGAUUGGAGGAGUUGUGGAUGGAGCUGUAGGUGGUCGAAGGUUACAAGAGGAUAUAGACAGGAUGCACAGUUGGGCAGAAAAAUGGCAGAUGGAGUUCAAUCCGGACAAGAGUGAGGUGAUUCAUUUUGGAGGGACAAACCAGAAGACUGAGAACAGGAUUAAUGAUGAUAUCAGAUGGAAUCUCCACUGCGUAACAGAGUGAUCCAGCUCUCUCCUUAAUCUUUCCAAGUACCCACUUUUGGGGAUGUGGCAUGCAAAUGAUGGAUGGAUCUCCGAUCAAGUUGUAGUUGUCUCAGCUAAUCAUGGCCCCAUGAU
This is a long non-coding RNA of Hypanus sabinus (Atlantic stingray), 643 nucleotides long. RefSeq lists it as uncharacterized. The record is from RefSeq and is a predicted model, not a curated record. Lineage: Eukaryota; Metazoa; Chordata; Chondrichthyes; Myliobatiformes; Dasyatidae. The transcript is spliced from 3 exons.